UACGUAGGGAGCGAGCGUUGUCCGGAUUUACUGGGUGUAAAGGGUGCGUAGGCGGCUUUGCAAGUCAGAAGUGAAAUCCAUGGGCUUAACCCAUGAACUGCUUUUGAAACUGCAGAGCUUGAGUGGAGUAGAGGUAGGCGGAAUUCCCGGUGUAGCGGUGAAAUGCGUAGAUAUUAGGAGGAACACCAGUGGCGAAGGCGGCUUGCUGGACGAUGACUGACGUUGAGGCUCGAAAGCGUGGGGAGCAAACAGG
This 253-nucleotide ribosomal RNA is filed under the name uncultured Ruminococcus sp. RNAcentral describes it as "partial 16S ribosomal RNA". It matches the Rfam family "Bacterial small subunit ribosomal RNA", at positions 524 to 776 of the family's 1533-position model. The record is from RNAcentral. Lineage: Bacteria; Bacillati; Bacillota; Clostridia; Eubacteriales; Oscillospiraceae.